GCGGGGGGGGGGCAGUUAGGGGACCUUCCCAAUGGACGAAAGUCUGAUGGAGCAACGCCGCGUGAGUGAAGAAGGGUUUCGGCUCGUAAAACUCUGUUGUUAAAGAAGAACAUAUCUGAGAGUAACUGUUCAGGUAUUGACGGUAUUUAACCAGAAAGCCACGGCUAACUACGUGCCAGCAGCCGCGGUAAUACGUAGGUGGCAAGCGUUGUCCGGAUUUAUUGGGCGUAAAGCGAGCGCAGGCGGUUUUUUAAGUCUGAUGUGAAAGCCUUCGGCUCAACCGAAGAAGUGCAUCGGAAACUGGGAAACUUGAGUGCAGAAGAGGACAGUGGAACUCCAUGUGUAGCGGUGAAAUGCGUAGAUAUAUGGAAGAACACCAGUGGCGAAGGCGGCUGUCUGGUCUGUAACUGACGCUGAGGCUCGAAAGUAUGGGUAGCAAACAGGAUUAGAUACCCUGGUAGUCCAUACCGUAAACGAUGAAUGCUAAGUGUUGGAGGGUUUCCGCCCUUCAGUGCUGCAGCUAACGCAUUAAGCAUUCCGCCUGGGGAGUACGGCCGCAAGGCUGAAACUCAAAGGAAUUGACGGGGGCCCGCACAAGCGGUGGAGCAUGUGGUUUAAUUCGAAGCUACGCGAAGAACCUUACCAGGUCUUGACAUACUAUGCAAAUCUAAGAGAUUAGACGUUCCCUUCGGGGACAUGGAUACAGGUGGUGCAUGGUUGUCGUCAGCUCGUGUCGUGAGAUGUUGGGUUAAGUCCCGCAACGAGCGCAACCCUUAUUAUCAGUUGCCAGCAUUAAGUUGGGCACUCUGGUGAGACUGCCGGUGACAAACCGGAGGAAGGUGGGGAUGACGUCAAAUCAUCAUGCCCCUUAUGACCUGGGCUACACACGUGCUACAUGGAUGAGUACAACGAGUUGCGAACUCGCGAGAGUAAGCUAAUCUCUUAAAGCCAUUCUCAGUUCGGAUUGUAGGCUGCAACUCGCCUACUGAAGUCGG
This 995-nucleotide ribosomal RNA is filed under the name Lactiplantibacillus plantarum subsp. plantarum. Its description in RNAcentral is "bacterial SSU rRNA". It matches the Rfam family "Bacterial small subunit ribosomal RNA", at positions 340 to 1329 of the family's 1533-position model. The record is from RNAcentral. Lineage: Bacteria; Bacillati; Bacillota; Bacilli; Lactobacillales; Lactobacillaceae.